This 594-nucleotide unclassified non-coding RNA is filed under the name Hevea brasiliensis (rubber tree). Lineage: Eukaryota; Viridiplantae; Streptophyta; Magnoliopsida; Malpighiales; Euphorbiaceae. The record is from RNAcentral.
GAUAGCAAGAUGGAAAGGUAAUUGUGAAUGGAACAUGAUCAGGAAACUUUCAUUGUUAGGAUUUGGAUGAUACGGAAUAUGGGAUAUUGUGCCAUUUACUGCAGCUCUUACCAAAUAUCAGUUAUAACCCUGCAACUAAUUGACAUUUUGUCAAAUCGGAUUGAUUGUUGGAACAUUGUCAUUGUUACUUAGCGUACUUUCAUGGCUACGAUAUGUUGAUUGCUACAACUAUGUGCUCUUCACAAUUGAAAAAACCCAAAUAGACUCAAUAAUGUAAUACAGCAAAUUCCCUUUGUCACAUUGAAACAUCUUAGGUGUAAAGUCUAUUGGCCCAAAGGACGCUAAGUUUUAUUUGCUUAUAUUUGUCAUUUUUAACAUUGAGUGGAGAUGAAUCUCUACUCAAAUAAACAACCAUAUAACUGGGGCAAGAAUUGCAUUGGACUGUGAAACCUUGAAAUAGUCUCAUUGUCUGGUCACAUAUUACAGCUAGAGUCUUCUGUCCCAAAAUUGGCAUUGAAUUUAAAUCUAAAGCAGACUCUUGGAGAAAUUUAACUUGUUUUGUUAAUAUACAGGCACACAAGUGUCUCAUUGGAG